AGUCGCAAGUUUUGCUCGAGGCCACAGCUCACGGUUCUGUCUGGAGACUAACGGUUUCUUGUCAGCAUUGAGGCUAAAAACUGAGCUUCAACAAAGGCAUCCAUCAAGAAAGACUUGAGCCACAUUCCAUGACAUUCCAGCCACACCAAGACUCAUAAUGCUUGGGAACAAUUUCUCUCUUCCACAAAGUGGAUGGUAAGCAUUGAGGGAAAGGUGGCCUAUGUUUUGGAUGAGCACCUGGGAUGUGCAGAUGCCUUUCUGUAUUCAUCUUCUUCAACGUUUUCAACAUUGAAUACCAGGAGACUGCCUGUGCAACACUGGAACUCAUAAAACAGUUUUUCGUGAGGAUAAACCCAAAGGAGGGAACGAAAUGCACCGCCAAAACCGGAGUGAGUCGGAGGACAGGGGAAGUUGUGAAGAGAAAGACAACAGUAAUCAACAACAGUGUUAUCCUUUCUUCGCCACCUAAUGGAGUUUGAGUGGAGAAACUCGGACUAGAGGGACUUCUGACAGAUUCCUUGACAUAAUGAAGAAUAUUCCUGGUUGUUUCAAGUCAUCAAAUGUGCCAGGUUUAUUGACUUCCAAAGAAGAUGAGAAACUUGAGUACUUACCUAC
Carassius auratus (goldfish) is the source of this 615-nucleotide long non-coding RNA. RefSeq lists it as uncharacterized. The record is from RefSeq and is a predicted model, not a curated record. Lineage: Eukaryota; Metazoa; Chordata; Actinopteri; Cypriniformes; Cyprinidae. The transcript has 5 exons.